Molecule: unclassified non-coding RNA, 513 nt
Filed under: Stizolophus balsamita
Lineage: Eukaryota; Viridiplantae; Streptophyta; Magnoliopsida; Asterales; Asteraceae
Description: partial external transcribed spacer
Source: RNAcentral
GCAUUCUGGGGGUCGUUUUGGCUUUUGGUUGCUUGCUUGGCUUUCGGCUGGGUGGGUCGCUACUAGUCGGACGGUUUUCGGGAAUGUCGACCGGGAAGGUGCAUGAGUGGUGUUUGGUGUGUUACGGGUGGUUGGCUGUUUGCUUGCGCAACAACGUCCACGCGGCAUACCUCUUCAGUUUUGCGUCAAGACACGGUUUGUCUUGAGCACAUUGCGGGUUUCCUGUGUUGCAUACCUAACCGAUGGUAACGUGCCGGCUUUAUGAUGUCCCUUUUCGUCAUGCGUCGCUCAUGCGGCGUGGGACGAACAUUGAAGCGGUCUUUGUGAUCCACCUUGUCCUUGCAUUUGCAAGGAUGAUGUGGCCUACGAAGCAUCGCUUGGUCUCUUGCAUACGGAACCUGAUGUGGGCAUGGGUCUUCUAAGAUCCUGAUCUGCCCUCGUUAAGCGUUCUCGCUUCUCCAAAACGAUCGCCUGCCAUGUCUCGGCUUGUCCUUGCAUGGUGGGCUACGUCGA